Homarus americanus (American lobster) is the source of this 296-nucleotide long non-coding RNA. RefSeq lists it as uncharacterized. The record is from RefSeq and is a predicted model, not a curated record. The transcript has 2 exons. Lineage: Eukaryota; Metazoa; Arthropoda; Malacostraca; Decapoda; Nephropidae.
GGGAGACGCAAUGGCGUUGUUUACAUCCCAAAGACGCGUCGGGUGGGUCCAGUAACAGAUAUUCACCCUGGAGUGAGUCGACAACAGCCACUCCCCUGUGUUAUGCUGGUGGGUUGGGUUUAUUAUUUAUUGUUUAAUUCCUACGAUUGUGUGUUACAAAUAUGUGAAUAAAACAACAGUUGACGCUUGUUUUGUAAGUAUAACGUAAUAAUGUGUAAUAACUAGUUAUGUCUGAUCUAGGUCCCAGCCUUUUCCUUCUCGGGAGAUUUCUAGAGUAAAUAAAUGAGAGAAAACUA